RNAcentral lists this ribosomal RNA (468 nucleotides) under uncultured bacterium. RNAcentral describes it as "partial 16S ribosomal RNA". It matches the Rfam family "Bacterial small subunit ribosomal RNA", at positions 28 to 507 of the family's 1533-position model. The record is from RNAcentral.
GACGAACGCUGGCGGCGUGCUUAACACAUGCCAGUCGAACGGAAAGGCCCUGCUCUUGUGGGGUGCUCGAGUGGCGAACGGGUGAGUAACGCGUGAGUAACCUGCCCUUGACUUUGGGAUAACUUCAGGAAACUGGGGCUAAUACCGGAUAGGAGCUCCUGCUGCAUGGUGGGGGUUGGAAAGUUUCGGCGGUUGGGGAUGGACUCGCGGCUUAUCAGCUUGUUGGUGGGGUAGUGGCUUACCAAGGCUUUGACGGGUAGCCGGCCUGAGAGGGUGACCGGCCACAUUGGGACUGAGAUACGGCCCAGACUCCUACGGGAGGCAGCAGUGGGGAAUAUUGCACAAUGGGCGGAAGCCUGAUGCAGCAACGCCGCGUGCGGGAUGACGGCCUUCGGGUUGUAAACCGCUUUCGCCUGUGACGAAGCGUGAGUGACGGUAAUGGGUAAAGAAGCACCGGCUAACUACGUG